RNAcentral lists this ribosomal RNA (254 nucleotides) under uncultured bacterium. RNAcentral's name for it is "partial 16S ribosomal RNA". It matches the Rfam family "Bacterial small subunit ribosomal RNA", at positions 524 to 776 of the family's 1533-position model. The record is from RNAcentral.
UACGUAGGUGGCAAGCGUUGUCCGGAUUUAUUGGGUUUAAAGGGUGCGUAGGCGGUCAGCACAAGUCAGUUGUGAAAUCUCCGGGCUUAACCCGGAAAGGUCAACUGAUACUGUGCGACUAGAGUGCGGAAGGGGCAACUGGAAUUCUCGGUGUAGCGGUGAAAUGCGUAGAUAUCGAGAGGAACACCUGCGGCGAAGGCGGGUUGCUGGGCCGACACUGACGCUGAUGCGCGAAAGCCAGGGGAGCGAACGGG